Molecule: transfer RNA, 72 nt
Filed under: Marmota monax (woodchuck)
Lineage: Eukaryota; Metazoa; Chordata; Mammalia; Rodentia; Sciuridae
Rfam family: tRNA
About the family: Transfer RNA (tRNA) molecules are approximately 80 nucleotides in length. Their secondary structure includes four short double-helical elements and three loops (D, anti-codon, and T loops). Further hydrogen bonds mediate the characteristic L-shaped molecular structure. tRNAs have two regions of fundamental functional importance: the anti-codon, which is responsible for specific mRNA codon recognition, and the 3' end, to which the tRNAs corresponding amino acid is attached (by aminoacyl-tRNA synthetases). tRNAs cope with the degeneracy of the genetic code in two manners: having more than one tRNA (with a specific anti-codon) for a particular amino acid; and 'wobble' base-pairing, i.e. permitting non-standard base-pairing at the 3rd anti-codon position.
Source: Rfam by way of RNAcentral
AGGGAUAUAGUUCAGUGGAAGAACACUCGCCUAUGAUGUGAGAAGCCCUGGGUUCAACCCCCAGUACCACAA